RNAcentral lists this ribosomal RNA (370 nucleotides) under uncultured Roseomonas sp. RNAcentral's name for it is "bacterial SSU rRNA". It matches the Rfam family "Bacterial small subunit ribosomal RNA", at positions 545 to 916 of the family's 1533-position model. Lineage: Bacteria; Pseudomonadati; Pseudomonadota; Alphaproteobacteria; Acetobacterales; Roseomonadaceae. The record is from RNAcentral.
AGAUCAUCACUGGGUAUAAAGCGCGCGUAGGCGGCGUUCCAAGUUAGGGCGUGAAAGUCCUGGGCUCAACCUGGGAACUGCGCUUAAGACUGGAAUGCUAGAGGAUGGAAGAGGGUUGUGGAAUUCCCAGUGUAGAGGUGAAAUUCGUAGAUAUUGGGAAGAACACCGGUGGCGAAGGCGGCAACCUGGUCCAUUUCUGACGCUGAGGCGCGAUAGCGUGGGGAGCAAACAGGAUUAGAUACCCUGGUAGUCCACGCCGUAAACGAUGUGCGCUGGAUGUUGGGUGACCUAGUCACUCAGUGUCGUAGCUAACGCGGUAAGCGCACCGCCUGGGGAGUACGGCCGCAAGGUUGAAACUUAAAAAUGACGG